This 2902-nucleotide ribosomal RNA is filed under the name Escherichia coli MGH 57. RNAcentral describes it as "bacterial LSU rRNA". It matches the Rfam family "Bacterial large subunit ribosomal RNA". Lineage: Bacteria; Pseudomonadati; Pseudomonadota; Gammaproteobacteria; Enterobacterales; Enterobacteriaceae. The record is from RNAcentral.
UUAAGCGACUAAGCGUACACGGUGGAUGCCCUGGCAGUCAGAGGCGAUGAAGGACGUGCUAAUCUGCGAUAAGCGUCGGUAAGGUGAUAUGAACCGUUAUAACCGGCGAUUUCCGAAUGGGGAAACCCAGUGUGAUUCGUCACACUAUCAUUAACUGAAUCCAUAGGUUAAUGAGGCGAACCGGGGGAACUGAAACAUCUAAGUACCCCGAGGAAAAGAAAUCAACCGAGAUUCCCCCAGUAGCGGCGAGCGAACGGGGAGCAGCCCAGAGCCUGAAUCAGUGUGUGUGUUAGUGGAAGCGUCUGGAAAGGCGCGCGAUACAGGGUGACAGCCCCGUACACAAAAAUGCACAUGCUGUGAGCUCGAUGAGUAGGGCGGGACACGUGGUAUCCUGUCUGAAUAUGGGGGGACCAUCCUCCAAGGCUAAAUACUCCUGACUGACCGAUAGUGAACCAGUACCGUGAGGGAAAGGCGAAAAGAACCCCGGCGAGGGGAGUGAAAAAGAACCUGAAACCGUGUACGUACAAGCAGUGGGAGCACGCUUAGGCGUGUGACUGCGUACCUUUUGUAUAAUGGGUCAGCGACUUAUAUUCUGUAGCAAGGUUAACCGAAUAGGGGAGCCGAAGGGAAACCGAGUCUUAACUGGGCGUUAAGUUGCAGGGUAUAGACCCGAAACCCGGUGAUCUAGCCAUGGGCAGGUUGAAGGUUGGGUAACACUAACUGGAGGACCGAACCGACUAAUGUUGAAAAAUUAGCGGAUGACUUGUGGCUGGGGGUGAAAGGCCAAUCAAACCGGGAGAUAGCUGGUUCUCCCCGAAAGCUAUUUAGGUAGCGCCUCGUGAAUUCAUCUCCGGGGGUAGAGCACUGUUUCGGCAAGGGGGUCAUCCCGACUUACCAACCCGAUGCAAACUGCGAAUACCGGAGAAUGUUAUCACGGGAGACACACGGCGGGUGCUAACGUCCGUCGUGAAGAGGGAAACAACCCAGACCGCCAGCUAAGGUCCCAAAGUCAUGGUUAAGUGGGAAACGAUGUGGGAAGGCCCAGACAGCCAGGAUGUUGGCUUAGAAGCAGCCAUCAUUUAAAGAAAGCGUAAUAGCUCACUGGUCGAGUCGGCCUGCGCGGAAGAUGUAACGGGGCUAAACCAUGCACCGAAGCUGCGGCAGCGACGCUGAUGCGUUGUUGGGUAGGGGAGCGUUCUGUAAGCCUGCGAAGGUGUGCUGUGAGGCAUGCUGGAGGUAUCAGAAGUGCGAAUGCUGACAUAAGUAACGAUAAAGCGGGUGAAAAGCCCGCUCGCCGGAAGACCAAGGGUUCCUGUCCAACGUUAAUCGGGGCAGGGUGAGUCGACCCCUAAGGCGAGGCCGAAAGGCGUAGUCGAUGGGAAACAGGUUAAUAUUCCUGUACUUGGUGUUACUGCGAAGGGGGGACGGAGAAGGCUAUGUUGGCCGGGCGACGGUUGUCCCGGUUUAAGCGUGUAGGCUGGUUUUCCAGGCAAAUCCGGAAAAUCAAGGCUGAGGCGUGAUGACGAGGCACUACGGUGCUGAAGCAACAAAUGCCCUGCUUCCAGGAAAAGCCUCUAAGCAUCAGGUAACAUCAAAUCGUACCCCAAACCGACACAGGUGGUCAGGUAGAGAAUACCAAGGCGCUUGAGAGAACUCGGGUGAAGGAACUAGGCAAAAUGGUGCCGUAACUUCGGGAGAAGGCACGCUGAUAUGUAGGUGAAGUCCCUCGCGGAUGGAGCUGAAAUCAGUCGAAGAUACCAGCUGGCUGCAACUGUUUAUUAAAAACACAGCACUGUGCAAACACGAAAGUGGACGUAUACGGUGUGACGCCUGCCCGGUGCCGGAAGGUUAAUUGAUGGGGUCAGCGCAAGCGAAGCUCUUGAUCGAAGCCCCGGUAAACGGCGGCCGUAACUAUAACGGUCCUAAGGUAGCGAAAUUCCUUGUCGGGUAAGUUCCGACCUGCACGAAUGGCGUAAUGAUGGCCAGGCUGUCUCCACCCGAGACUCAGUGAAAUUGAACUCGCUGUGAAGAUGCAGUGUACCCGCGGCAAGACGGAAAGACCCCGUGAACCUUUACUAUAGCUUGACACUGAACAUUGAGCCUUGAUGUGUAGGAUAGGUGGGAGGCUUUGAAGUGUGGACGCCAGUCUGCAUGGAGCCGACCUUGAAAUACCACCCUUUAAUGUUUGAUGUUCUAACGUUGACCCGUGAUCCGGGUUGCGGACAGUGUCUGGUGGGUAGUUUGACUGGGGCGGUCUCCUCCUAAAGAGUAACGGAGGAGCACGAAGGUUGGCUAAUCCUGGUCGGACAUCAGGAGGUUAGUGCAAUGGCAUAAGCCAGCUUGACUGCGAGCGUGACGGCGCGAGCAGGUGCGAAAGCAGGUCAUAGUGAUCCGGUGGUUCUGAAUGGAAGGGCCAUCGCUCAACGGAUAAAAGGUACUCCGGGGAUAACAGGCUGAUACCGCCCAAGAGUUCAUAUCGACGGCGGUGUUUGGCACCUCGAUGUCGGCUCAUCACAUCCUGGGGCUGAAGUAGGUCCCAAGGGUAUGGCUGUUCGCCAUUUAAAGUGGUACGCGAGCUGGGUUUAGAACGUCGUGAGACAGUUCGGUCCCUAUCUGCCGUGGGCGCUGGAGAACUGAGGGGGGCUGCUCCUAGUACGAGAGGACCGGAGUGGACGCAUCACUGGUGUUCGGGUUGUCAUGCCAAUGGCACUGCCCGGUAGCUAAAUGCGGAAGAGAUAAGUGCUGAAAGCAUCUAAGCACGAAACUUGCCCCGAGAUGAGUUCUCCCUGACUCCUUGAGAGUCCUGAAGGAACGUUGAAGACGACGACGUUGAUAGGCCGGAUGUGUAAGCGCAGCGAUGCGUUGAGCUAACCGGUACUAAUGAACCGUGAGGCUUAACCUU